AACGAACGCUGGCGGCAUGCCUAACACAUGCAAGUCGAACGAGACCUUCGGGUCUAGUGGCGCACGGGUGCGUAACGCGUGGGAACCUGCCCUUAGGUUCGGAAUAACUCCCCGAAAGGGGUGCUAAUACCGGAUAAUGUCUUCGGACCAAAGAUUUAUCGCCUUUGGAUGGGCCCGCGUUGGAUUAGCUAGUUGGUAGGGUAAAAGCCUACCAAGGCGACGAUCCAUAGCUGGUCUGAGAGGAAGAUCAGCCACACUGGGACUGAGACACGGCCCAGACUCCUACGGGAGGCAGCAGUGGGGAAUAUUGGACUAUGGGCGAAAGCCUGAUCCAGCAAUGCCGCGUGAGUGAUGAAGGCCUUAGGGUUGUAAAGCUCUUUUACCCGGGAUGAUAAUGACAGUACCGGGAGAAUAAGCUCCGGCUAACUCCGUG
This 433-nucleotide ribosomal RNA is filed under the name uncultured bacterium. RNAcentral's name for it is "partial 16S ribosomal RNA". It matches the Rfam family "Bacterial small subunit ribosomal RNA", at positions 29 to 507 of the family's 1533-position model. The record is from RNAcentral.